Long non-coding RNA from Leopardus geoffroyi (Geoffroy's cat), 118 nucleotides. RefSeq lists it as uncharacterized. The transcript is spliced from 3 exons. Lineage: Eukaryota; Metazoa; Chordata; Mammalia; Carnivora; Felidae. The record is from RefSeq and is a predicted model, not a curated record.
AAUAUUUUGAAUGUACCUGUUAAAUCCACCUGGUACAGAGUGUCAUUCAAAGCCACCGUUUCUUUAUUCAUUUUCUGUUUGGAUAAUCUGUCCAUUGAUGUAAGUAGGGUGUUAAUGU